This is a long non-coding RNA of Acomys russatus (golden spiny mouse), 579 nucleotides long. RefSeq lists it as uncharacterized. NCBI's taxonomy places the organism in Eukaryota, Metazoa, Chordata, Mammalia, Rodentia, Muridae. The record is from RefSeq and is a predicted model, not a curated record. The transcript has 3 exons.
UCUUACUCGGUACAGUCUAGCUUCGAACUCGAAAUCUUCUCGUCACCAUGUCCUGAGUUUUAAGUUCCCAGCCGCCACUACGCUGGCCUUGCCAGGCGUUUUCUUGUUUGUCUUUUUUUUGUGGUGUGUUCCCAAGGCCAAGCAGAAACUCGGGAAGUCCAUAGCUCCAGAUUGCGGUUAGCCGAGGGCCCUGAAACACACCAGUGUACAGAUGGCAGCAAAUUGGUCACCCUGGUCUCAAGAAGUGUACUGGAUACGCGGUGCGGUGUGGCGUUCCGGUAGCUCGCCGUGAUCGUAUAGUGUUUGUUUAAAUGGUGGAUCACAUUGAUGGAUUUUUGUAUGUUGAACCAUCCCUGCAUCCCCAGGAUGAAGCCUACUGGAUCUUGGUGGAUGAUGUUUUUGAUAUGUUCUUGGAUUCAGUUUGUGAGUGGCGGCGAUUGAACUCAGGUCCUCCGGCUUAGUGGCAGUGAGUCUCCUUGCCUGCCUGUCUCCAGUAACCUCACAGGCCUGUGUGCUGACCAUCACUUCCAUUUGACUGAAGUGGAGAUCGAGGCUCCAGAAAGUUAAAUACUCUCCCAU